GUCACAGAACUAUGACACCUUAAGUACUGCUACUCAAUUAUGGUUCGUUGCUUGAACAACCAUUCCUGGCUCAGAUCAGCACUUAGCCACUACGCACAUCUAAAUUUCUCUUGAUUCAAGAGAGCAUUAAGGAUUUUGAGCAUUAAGAUAGAUAAUGAUACAGAAUUAUAACUCACUGCAUAAAAAAAGAAUCUAUGAGCUCAAGUGGUCAUGAAUAAAUGAGUGAAUAAAUAAUUGGAGGAAAAGGGAAAACUCAGCAAGACACUAUGUAUAUAGCUGGAGUGAUGAAGUUAUAACAUUGAUUAAAGGAAGGUAAAAACUCUUGGGUGAAAACUUAAUGAAGAUAUUUAACAUAGUCUUAAAAAUGUCUGUAAAAAGCAUUAUUAAUUUCAAAGGGGGAAAAUAGCAUUGAUUAUUAUAAAGUUAGUGGAUGCCACUGUAAUCAGCCAAAGUUAAUAUAACUAAAAUACUCAGAUAAAUGUAUAUGUCUUCUGGUAUGUUGCGCCGAGAGUGAUAUAACCUCAGGUAUAUGCAAAAUGCAUAGCUUGACUCUCAUAUGAAAGAGAGAGAGAAUGAGUAAAAUAAAGCAAAUGAGAUAAAUAUUAGCAGUGGCUAAUGUAGAUAAAGAUUCUACAAGAGCUCAUCAUUGUGUUGCGAUGCUUUUGUAAGUGUGAAAUCUUAUGAAAAUAAGAAGUUACAAAAUACAUAUUAGCCUUUGUUUUUAUGGAGUUUAAGUUCCAUAGAGGUAAGACCAAAAAAAAGGAGAAAUAAACAUGUGAAUAAAUUAUACAAUUUUUUUUGGAGUUCCCGUCGUGGCGCAGUGGUUAACGAAUCCGACUAGGAACCAUGAGGGGAACUCCUCAAAUUAAAUCUUAGCUCUUGUAAGUGGUAUUCCUACCAUUCCAUUAAUGAGAUUAUUGCUAAUAAUUUUUUUCCCUUCAUUCUGUUUUCCUCCUGGGGUGGGGCAACUGUGAAAAUUACAGGGGGUGAGGGCUGGUGUUCUUAACAGAUACUGCACUUUAUUUUAGUAAGUUAAAUAAUAUGGAGCUUAAAUUGAGGCUCUAGUGUGUAAAAGAUGAUGACUACAUCAUCUUUUAAAAAGUGAAAAUGUAGUGUAUUACAUUUAUCAAAACCAGUGACUAGGGUGCUUAUUUACUUUAUUUUUACCUAUUCAGCAUCAUGAAAUGGAAAGCUAUGCCAAAUUUA
Molecule: long non-coding RNA, 1206 nt
Filed under: Sus scrofa (pig)
Lineage: Eukaryota; Metazoa; Chordata; Mammalia; Artiodactyla; Suidae
Description: lncRNA (ENSSSCG00070028263.1)
Source: RNAcentral